GUUUAACACAUGUUAGAGACUUAAAAGAUGCAAUUGCAUCACUAGUAGAUGGACCUGCGUUGUAUUAGCUAGUUGGUGGGGUAACGGCCUACCAAGGCGACGAUACAUAGCCGACCUGAGAGGGUGAUCGGCCACACUGGGACUGAGACACGGCCCAGACUCCUACGGGAGGCAGCAGUAGGGAAUCUUCGGCAAUGGGGGCAACCCUGACCGAGCAACGCCGCGUGAGUGAAGAAGGUUUUCGGAUCGUAAAGCUCUGUUGUAAGAGAAGAACGUGUGUGAGAGUGGAAAGUUCACACAGUGACGGUAACUUACCAGAAAGGGACGGCUAACUACGUGCCAGCAGCCGCGGUAAUACGUAGGUCCCGAGCGUUGUCCGGAUUUAUUGGGCGUAAAGCGAGCGCAGGCGGUUUAAUAAGUCUGAAGUUAAAGGCAGUGGCUUAACCAUUGUUCGCUUUGGAAACUGUUAAACUUGAGUGCAGAAGGGGAGAGUGGAAUUCCAUGUGUAGCGGUGAAAUGCGUAGAUAUAUGGAGGAA
This 537-nucleotide ribosomal RNA is filed under the name Streptococcus macedonicus. Its description in RNAcentral is "bacterial SSU rRNA". It matches the Rfam family "Bacterial small subunit ribosomal RNA", at positions 181 to 706 of the family's 1533-position model. Lineage: Bacteria; Bacillati; Bacillota; Bacilli; Lactobacillales; Streptococcaceae. The record is from RNAcentral.